CCUCAAUACCGCUGUGCUAUUGAAUAAUAGAAUGACGCAUAUGAGCAAGAAGAGGGAUUGCUAUAUGGUGCUGGAAUAGCUGAUUAACUGAUAAAAAUUGCGACGUCAGGGAUGUACGCCAGCCAAAUGCUCGGAUGGCAAUCGCCCAUGGACUGCACGCGGUAACUCCACUAUUUCCGGCGGAAAUCGUUUGAAAAAAUUUUAAAGUGUACUUGAAAACAUAAAUAAAAUAUCCUCCAAGUUUAAA
RNAcentral lists this long non-coding RNA (247 nucleotides) under Neodiprion pinetum (white pine sawfly). RNAcentral describes it as "uncharacterized LOC124220262". Lineage: Eukaryota; Metazoa; Arthropoda; Insecta; Hymenoptera; Diprionidae. The record is from RNAcentral.